UUUUUGUUUUUGUUUUUUUAGCAAGGUCGGUAUUUCUAACACUAUUUCUAAAGUGCUAAUGCUGUCGAGUGAAAAACUAGCUUAAAAUGCGCGCCAAUUCGGUUCAACUCGAAAUUAUUAUUAAAUGUGUCUUAUAAUUGUUAUGAAUGUAUAGUUUUCAUUUAAUGAAUAUCAUAGAAAUACUCGGAAUUAGUUGUGGUUUGAGGAAUAUAAUUCCCAUAUUUGUAUAAUGGCGGUUAAAAUCAACUAUAACUGAAUGUGCAGACAGCACAUCAUCAGAGUAUUUUUUUUAACUUAAUUAUUUCAAACAAACUCGUAGUUUAUCCAUACUUUUACUUGGUAUUCUUGCUCUUUAUGCUAUGACAGACUGCAGUAGGGUGGUUAAUUCAAUUAUUUGUACUAACUUAAGUUUAAGUGACCCAUUUUUAUUUUUUUUUUACGAAGUUGUGCCUGUCAUCAGGGAAUUGUGGGAUGCGAUGUUGCGAUUCCUGUGAUCUGCGUUUUGAUUGGUUGGAUUAGUUCCGGUUCUUGUCUUGCUGUGAUUUGUCGGAAGAAGCCUUGAGUGAUGGCAGAAACGUUUGUUCUUCGGUUUCUGGCGCUAAUGUUUGGAUAUUCAGUCAGUGAACUAACGUCAUCACCACCCAGGCAGGUGAAAGAAAUCUACGCCGGGGGAUUUGUGGUCUUCUUUUCAAUCUGAGUGACCCUUCAGGUCGUGUUCAUUUCUCCAGGACCGGUCAUGACCGUUACUGAUGGUGAGAGUGGCACAAGCUACCUGGCAUGGAGGAUUAAAAACUAUUCGGGGAUCUGAAGCAGGACGCAGAUGAGCAUCACACAGAGGUUGGAACAAACAUUGGGGAAUACCUCCAGGGGGUGGAGUCCAGGCCCUAUCCGUCUGUUCUGGCCCUUGGACAAGUGACGCAAAAUUCUUUACAAGCUUUUGCUGUGAUGGCUGGUCAGGUAUACCCUGAAGAUGCAGUGGGGCAGUUGGUGUCGGCUUCAAGACAUUUUAUGUGUUUGAUAUCAGCUACCCCAUGCAGUGUGCCUCUUCAUGGGAGUUCCUCCAGAAAGUGGUUUAUGACAUGGAGGGACCAGAAUCUAACAAAGUUAGGUUUUUAAAGACUGUCUUAAAGAAUGUGAAAGUGUUUAAAAAAA
Oryzias melastigma (Indian medaka) is the source of this 1152-nucleotide long non-coding RNA. RefSeq lists it as uncharacterized. The transcript has 4 exons. NCBI's taxonomy places the organism in Eukaryota, Metazoa, Chordata, Actinopteri, Beloniformes, Adrianichthyidae. The record is from RefSeq and is a predicted model, not a curated record.